Molecule: long non-coding RNA, 1249 nt
Organism: Zalophus californianus (California sea lion)
Lineage: Eukaryota; Metazoa; Chordata; Mammalia; Carnivora; Otariidae
Exons: 4
Source: RefSeq, a predicted model, not a curated record
AGGAACGGGGUGGGGCUUGGACACCUAGGUUUUGCGGAGGCUUCCGGGUGGGAGAAUCUCUUUCGGCGAUAUUGGUAGCAGCGUUUUAGACCGGAAGAAAGUCAAGUAAAUUGUCUUUCGGAUUCUAGCCAUCCAGAGGCAGCUUUUAAGAAGUCUCUAGGAAUGGGGCCUACCCAGUCCUGUUAGAGCGCAAAAAUCCCUUCUUGAAGCACCAUGAUCCCCUUAGAGCACUAUGAUACCUGGAGGUGGUAGAGGUAAGCUGACACUGUCCAAAUUAGACUAGGAUCUAUUUGUUAAAGCUGGUGGCAGUCUUACCAGUGUUUGGGACUGCCCAGAAAUCUGGAUUCUUCCAAGAUGUCCCAUUUGGAUAUGGGGACUCCAUGGUUGAGCAUCACCUUCUUACGGACAAUUAAAAAUAAGCCCUCAGAAGGAAAGGCAGGGAGCAGAGGUGAAGAGAGUGGAAAGUUGCCAUUGGUCAAAUGAUGGGCUGUGUUUAUUUUCAAUCACAAAACUAUACACCCAUGCUCACCCAGUGUCUGUCCACAUCCAGGUACUAGUCUGGGAAUGUUCUAAAUAAGGCAAAGCUUGGAAGUAUACCUGCUCUUUGGGGAAAACGAACCCUCAAGUAUUAUUCCUAAUUAUUUUUGUCCUUUAGUCAUGCCUGGUCUUCCAAAUACAGGAUCAGACAUUUACCCACGUCUCGCUCUCCUCUUAUAAAUAUUCAUUCAUUUUUUUUCUUUCAAUAAAUAUUGAGAGCUUACUAUGUGCUAAGCACCAUACUGGGCACUAAACCUUCCGACAUGGGUAAGACCCAGGCCCUGACCUUACACCAUUGAUAGUGCCGGGGAAGAUGCAAAUGGGCCAUUUCAAAAUGAUGUGUUAAGUAUUCCCCAAAAUGAAAUAAGGUGCUCUGGAGCCUCGCCUCCUCUGAGAAAGGUUUCCUUCCUUGCCCUUAGGCUGCAUUACGCACUCUUUCUAAAGCAAGUCUCCAGAGCACCUUAUUUUCUCAAUUAAGAUUUAUUGAAAGAAAAAAAUGAAUGAAUAAAUGUUUCUAAGAAACAGGUUGUGAAUGGUCUUACAGGUUUUGUACCAUUUGGGGUUAUUCAAAAACCAACUGAUGUGUGAGCCCAUUUUGUAAGAGCAGUUUUAUUUUUUUUAUUUUUAUUUUUUUUAAAGAUUUUAUUUAUUUAUUUGGCAGAGAGAGACACAAUGAGAGAGGGAACACAAGCAGGGGGAGUGGGAGAGCGAG